RNAcentral lists this ribosomal RNA (464 nucleotides) under uncultured bacterium. RNAcentral's name for it is "partial 16S ribosomal RNA". It matches the Rfam family "Bacterial small subunit ribosomal RNA", at positions 339 to 795 of the family's 1533-position model. The record is from RNAcentral.
CUACGGGUUGCACCAGUGGGGAAUAUUGCACAAUGGGCGCAAGCCUGAUGCAGCCAUGCCGCGUGUAUGAAGAAGGCCUUCGGGUUGUAAAGUACUUUCAGCGGGGGGGAAGGGAGUAAAGUUAAUACCUUUGCUCAUUGACGUUACCCGCAGAAGAAGCACCGGCUAACUCCGUGCCAGCAGCCGCGGUAAUACGGAGGGUGCAAGCGUUAAUCGGAAUUACUGGGCGUAAAGCGCACGCAGGCGGUUUGUUAAGUCAGAUGUGAAAUCCCCGGGCUCAACCUGGGAACUGCAUCUGAUACUGGCAAGCUUGAGUCUCGUAGAGGGGGGUAGAAUUCCAGGUGUAGCGGUGAAAUGCGUAGAGAUCUGGAGGAAUACCGGUGGCGAAGGCGGCCCCCUGGACGAAGACUGACACUCAGGUGCGAAAGCGUGGGGAGCAAACAGGAUUAGAUACCCGAGUAGUC